CUCGGGUGACGAGUGGCGGACGGGUGAGUAAUGUCUGGGGAUCUGCCCGAUAGAGGGGGAUAACCACUGGAAACGGUGGCUAAUACCGCAAACGUCGCAGACCAAAGAGGGGGACCUUCGGGCCUCUCACUAUCGGAUGAACCCAGAUGGGAUUAGCUAGUAGGCGGGGUAACGGCCCACCUAGGCGACGAUCCCUAGCUGGUCUGAGAGGAUGACCAGCCACACUGGAACUGAGACACGGUCCAGACUCCUACGGGAGGCAGCAGUGGGGAAUAUUGCACAAUGGGCGCAAGCCUGAUGCAGCCAUGCCGCGUGUAUGAAGAAGGCCUUCGGGUUGUAAAGUACUUUCAGCGGGGAGGAAGGCGAUGUGGUUAAUAACCGCG
This 383-nucleotide ribosomal RNA is filed under the name Pantoea ananatis. RNAcentral describes it as "bacterial SSU rRNA". It matches the Rfam family "Bacterial small subunit ribosomal RNA", at positions 83 to 471 of the family's 1533-position model. Lineage: Bacteria; Pseudomonadati; Pseudomonadota; Gammaproteobacteria; Enterobacterales; Erwiniaceae. The record is from RNAcentral.